RNAcentral lists this transfer RNA (74 nucleotides) under Candidatus Woesearchaeota archaeon. RNAcentral's name for it is "tRNA-Phe". It matches the Rfam family "tRNA". From Rfam's summary of the family: Transfer RNA (tRNA) molecules are approximately 80 nucleotides in length. Their secondary structure includes four short double-helical elements and three loops (D, anti-codon, and T loops). Further hydrogen bonds mediate the characteristic L-shaped molecular structure. tRNAs have two regions of fundamental functional importance: the anti-codon, which is responsible for specific mRNA codon recognition, and the 3' end, to which the tRNAs corresponding amino acid is attached (by aminoacyl-tRNA synthetases). tRNAs cope with the degeneracy of the genetic code in two manners: having more than one tRNA (with a specific anti-codon) for a particular amino acid; and 'wobble' base-pairing, i.e. permitting non-standard base-pairing at the 3rd anti-codon position. Lineage: Archaea; Nanobdellati; Candidatus Woesearchaeota. The record is from RNAcentral.
GGGAGUGUAGUUCAGCCUGGGAGAACACACCGCUGAAGCCGGUGACGUCCCCGGUUCAAAUCCGGGCACUCCCA